CUACGGGUCGCAGCAGUGGGGAAUAUUGCACAAUGGGGGAAACCCUGAUGCAGCCAUGCCGCGUGUAUGAAGAAGGCCUUCGGGUUGUAAAGUACUUUCAGCAGUGAGGAAGGGUGAUAAAUUAAUACUUUAUCAUUUUGACGUUAGCUGCAGAAGAAGCACCGGCUAACUCCGUGCCAGCAGCCGCGGUAAUACGGAGGGUGCGAGCGUUAAUCGGAAUUACUGGGCGUAAAGCGCAUGCAGGUGGUCUGUUAAGUCAGAUGUGAAAGCCCGGGGCUUAACCUCGGAAUCGCAUUUGAAACUGGCAGGCUAGAGUACUGUAGAGGGGGGUAGAAUUGCAGGUGUAGCGGUGAAAUGCGUAGAGAUCUGAAGGAAUACCGGUGGCGAAGGCGGCCCCCUGGACAGAUACUGACACUCAGAUGCGAAAGCGUGGGGAGCAAACAGGAUUAGAUACCCUCGUAGUC
Molecule: ribosomal RNA, 464 nt
Filed under: uncultured bacterium
Lineage: Bacteria
Description: partial 16S ribosomal RNA
Rfam family: Bacterial small subunit ribosomal RNA
Source: RNAcentral